This is a long non-coding RNA of Triticum dicoccoides, 767 nucleotides long. RefSeq lists it as uncharacterized. NCBI's taxonomy places the organism in Eukaryota, Viridiplantae, Streptophyta, Magnoliopsida, Poales, Poaceae. The transcript has 2 exons. The record is from RefSeq and is a predicted model, not a curated record.
CCGAUCUCCAAUGUCUUCGAUGCACGGCCCAUCCCAACCUGCGGCGAGCUGAUCCAUCCGGGACUCCGGCGAGAGCGGCUGCGAUCCAACAUCCGGGACUCUGGCUCGGUGCUAAAAAUUAGAGUUUGCCAUCCAAGUACAUGCUCCAUCCGGGACUCCGGCGGCGAGACUGAAAUCAGGGCAGUCCAGGGGCUCCAUGGUGAACAUAGAUGCGGUCGGCGACGGUGCUCGAUGGCUCGGCUCGAUGACGGAGAGAAGACACGUGUGACGGCGACAUGACGACCUAGGAUCGCAUGCAACCAGCAGCCUUUUCUCCACUGAUUGGCCGGCGAUACAUCGGGCUUUAUUUUGGCAGAUGCAAUAUUAGCAUCCUACUACUCUAGUUAAUUGUAAGGCAAAUCAGUAGAUCCAUGCAUGAUAGCUACUGUACAUGUUGUCCGUUCAUGGACUUAUGUAUGAUUAAAUUAUACUCCCUCCGUCUUGAAAUACUUGUCGGAGAAAUGCAUAAAAAUGAAUGUAUCUAGAACUAAAAUACGUCUAGAUACAUCCAUUCCUCCGACAAGUAUUUCCGGACGGAGGGAGUACUUGCAUCCUACUACAAAUUUAUAUUCGUGUGCAUACAUGAUCAGAUGGCAUCGGCUGAUCCAGCUUGUGUAUGCAACAUGCAUAUGCAGCAAGCAUGCAAGGGCAAGCGUGCUCUCCGAUGUGAUGUACAUAUACGUUUGUAUUUUCUGGUAUGGACCAAUAUAAAUAUUCAAAAACAGCUA